GCAUUCUAAUUCUUAACCCUAGCGUCCAGACUCCAGCCGUCCUUGCUCCUAAGUCGCUCUCUCAACCCUCACAAUUCAUACUUUCACUCACAGAUCUAUAACAAAAUCAAUAAUCAAGUUAAUCCAUCUUCAUCUAUAGCUAGCCACAUCCCUCUCCCACACCAUCUUCAUCUUCAAUUCUAACAAACUAGCCAGUCAGCCACAUCCCUCUCCCACACGGGCAUGAGUCACAUGACAUACACCACACCGA
Molecule: long non-coding RNA, 250 nt
Filed under: Populus trichocarpa (black cottonwood)
Lineage: Eukaryota; Viridiplantae; Streptophyta; Magnoliopsida; Malpighiales; Salicaceae
Description: long non-coding RNA (PTRI_LNC001264)
Source: RNAcentral